This 122-nucleotide small nucleolar RNA is filed under the name Myotis brandtii (Brandt's bat). Its description in RNAcentral is "Small nucleolar RNA SNORA43". It matches the Rfam family "Small nucleolar RNA SNORA43". From Rfam's summary of the family: ACA43 is a member of the H/ACA class of snoRNA that guide the sites of modification of uridines to pseudouridines. The record is from Rfam by way of RNAcentral. Lineage: Eukaryota; Metazoa; Chordata; Mammalia; Chiroptera; Vespertilionidae.
AGAGCACCGUCCUGCUGCCCUGCCGGGCUGCACCUGUGACGUCGGGGCCCAGAGGAAGUGGCUAGUUCUACCCUCAGUGCUCAGAACAGUGGGCACUAAGGAUGGUUUGUAGCCUGACAUUC